Molecule: small nuclear RNA, 103 nt
Organism: Zalophus californianus (California sea lion)
Lineage: Eukaryota; Metazoa; Chordata; Mammalia; Carnivora; Otariidae
Source: Ensembl
GCCCUCGCUUCAACAGCACAUACUCGAGAAUUGAAAUGAUACAGAGAUUAGCAUGGCCCUUGCACAAGGAUGACAUGCAAUUCAUGAAAUGUUCCAUAUUUUG